GAUGAACGCUGGCGGCGUGCCUAAUACAUGCAAGUCGAGCGAACAGAUGAGGAGCUUGCUCCUCUGACGUUAGCGGCGGACGGGUGAGUAACACGUGGAUAACCUACCUAUAAGACUGGGAUAACUUCGGGAAACCGGAGCUAAUAAUGGAUAAUAUAUUGAACCGCAUGGUUCAAUAGUGAAAGACGGUUUUGCUGUCACUUAUAGAUGGAUCCGCGCCGCAUUAGCUAGUUGGUAAGGUAACGGCUUACCAAGGCGACGAUGCGUAGCCGACCUGAGAGGGUGAUCGGCCACACUGGAACUGAGACACGGUCCAGACUCCUACGGGAGGCAGCAGUAGGGAAUCUUCCGCAAUGGGCGAAAGCCUGACGGAGCAACGCCGCGUGAGUGAUGAAGGUCUUCGGAUCGUAAAACUCUGUUAUUAGGGAAGAACAAAUGUGUAAGUAACUAUGCACGUCUUGACGGUACCUAAUCAGAAAGCCACGGCUAACUACGUG
Molecule: ribosomal RNA, 497 nt
Filed under: uncultured bacterium
Lineage: Bacteria
Description: partial 16S ribosomal RNA
Rfam family: Bacterial small subunit ribosomal RNA
Source: RNAcentral